Molecule: ribosomal RNA, 551 nt
Filed under: uncultured Glomus
Lineage: Eukaryota; Fungi; Glomeromycota; Glomeromycetes; Glomerales; Glomeraceae
Description: partial 18S ribosomal RNA
Source: RNAcentral
UUGUUUCCCGUAAGGCGCCGAAUGAGUCAUUAAAAAAUUAACAUCAUCCGAUCCCUAGUCGGCAUAGUUUAUGGUUAAGACUACGACGGUAUCUGAUCGUCUUCGAUCCCCUAACUUUCGUUCUUGAUUAAUGAAAACAUCCUUGGCAAAUGCUUUCGCAGUAGUUAGUCUUCAAUAAAUCCAAGAAUUUCACCUCUGACAAUUGAAUACUAAUGCCCCCAACUAUCCCUAUUAAUCAUUACGUCGAUCCUAGAAACCAACAAAAUAGAAUCAAACGUCCUAUUUCAUUAUUCCAUGCUAAUGUAUUCAAGCGUGAGCCUGCUUUAAACACUCUAAUUUUUUCAAAGUAACAGUCCUGAUUCCCCAAGACACCAAAUUAAUGACAUCAAGGUUCGUCAGAAGGGAGAAACCGAAAAUACCAGUACGUACCGAGGCACGACCGAUAUAUCGGUCCCGAAAUUCAACUACGAGCUUUUUAACUGCAGCAACUUUAAUAUACGCUAUUGGAGCUGGAAUUACCGCGGCUGCUGGCACCAGACUUGCCCUCCAAA